Diceros bicornis minor is the source of this 458-nucleotide long non-coding RNA. RefSeq lists it as uncharacterized. The record is from RefSeq and is a predicted model, not a curated record. The transcript has 3 exons. Lineage: Eukaryota; Metazoa; Chordata; Mammalia; Perissodactyla; Rhinocerotidae.
GCCAACAUGAAGACAAGUGCAGUCUUGGUUCUGGUGGCCUUCAUCACCCUGGGGAUGGAGAUGGCCUGCGGACAAGAAAGACCUGGAGUCUGCCCAAAAAUACCUAAAGGAUCAGCCUCUGGGUUGUGUCUUCAACACUGCUUAUCAGAUGAAUCGUGUCCAGAGGGAAUGAAAUGCUGCCCCAAUAUGUGUGGUCAUGCCUGCAAAUAUCCUAUCCCUAAAGAGGGUGGCCCUGGUGGCCGUGUGAAAGAUGGACUGGAUGUUCUCUAAGCGUGCCUGGAGACGAACGCCAGAAGAUUUCUCAUGAAUCCAUGAAUCUGAUGCUUGGCAUAGCAAGACUCUUCCAUAAUCCAUUCCUGGCUACUCCUUAACCCUGGAAUUGCAGCCCUAGAAGACACAGAUCUACAAUGGUGAAGUGAUUGCUUUCUAAAGAGUUUCUGUCCAAAAUAAACUUUAGC